This 478-nucleotide ribosomal RNA is filed under the name Streptococcus sp. oral taxon C65. RNAcentral's name for it is "bacterial SSU rRNA". It matches the Rfam family "Bacterial small subunit ribosomal RNA", at positions 28 to 490 of the family's 1533-position model. The record is from RNAcentral. Lineage: Bacteria; Bacillati; Bacillota; Bacilli; Lactobacillales; Streptococcaceae.
GACGAACGCUGGCGGCGUGCCUAAUACAUGCAAGUAGAACGCUGAAGAGAGGAGCUUGCUCUUCUUGGAUGAGUUGCGAACGGGUGAGUAACGCGUAGGUAACCUGCCUUGUAGCGGGGGAUAACUAUUGGAAACGAUAGCUAAUACCGCAUAACAAUGAAUGACUCAUGUCAUUUAUUUGAAAGGGGCAAUUGCUCCACUACAAGAUGGACCUGCGUUGUAUUAGCUAGUAGGUGAGGUAACGGCUCACCUAGGCGACGAUACAUAGCCGACCUGAGAGGGUGAUCGGCCACACUGGGACUGAGACACGGCCCAGACUCCUACGGGAGGCAGCAGUAGGGAAUCUUCGGCAAUGGGGGCAACCCUGACCGAGCAACGCCGCGUGAGUGAAGAAGGUUUUCGGAUCGUAAAGCUCUGUUGUAAGUCAAGAACGAGUGUGAGAGUGGAAAAUUCACACUGAGACGGAGCUACCAGAAAG